This 84-nucleotide microRNA precursor is filed under the name Bombyx mori (domestic silkworm). RNAcentral's name for it is "mir-2807 microRNA precursor family". It matches the Rfam family "mir-2807 microRNA precursor family". The record is from Rfam by way of RNAcentral. Lineage: Eukaryota; Metazoa; Arthropoda; Insecta; Lepidoptera; Bombycidae.
CUAUAUAGAUUUUGUAUGGAAUUGGAACGUUUGCCUACGUUUACCGCUAGGGGCGCUGAUCUAACUGCAUACAAAUUUGAGUUA